This 47-nucleotide non-coding RNA is filed under the name unclassified sequences. The record is from Rfam.
CGGACAAACACGUCCGUAGGGAUGUGGCCGAAAGGCUGAACCAUAAA